GGCGUAAAGGGCUCGCAGGCGGUUUCUUAAGUCUGAUGUGAAAGCCCCCGGCUCAACCGGGGAGGGUCAUUGGAAACUGGGGAACUUGAGUGCCGAAGAGGAGAGUGGAAUUCCACGUGUAGCGGUGAAAUGCGUAGAGAUGUGGAGGAACACCAGUGGCGAAGGCGACUCUCUGGUCUGUAACUGACGCUGAGGAGCGAAAGCGUGGGGAGCGAACAGGAUUAGAUACCCUGGUAGUCCACGCCGUAAACGAUGAGUGCUAAGUGUUAGGGGGUUUCCGCCCCUUAUUGCUGCACCUAACGCAUUAAUCACUCCGCCUGGGGAGUACGGUCGCAAGACUGAAACUCAAAGGAAUUGACGGGGGCCCGCACAACCGGUGGAGCUUGUGGUUUAUUUCAAACCAUCGCAAAAAACCUUACCAGGCCUUGACUUCCUCGGACUUUCCUAAAAAUAAGAGGUGCCCUUCG
This 467-nucleotide ribosomal RNA is filed under the name Bacillus subtilis. Its description in RNAcentral is "bacterial SSU rRNA". It matches the Rfam family "Bacterial small subunit ribosomal RNA", at positions 557 to 1022 of the family's 1533-position model. The record is from RNAcentral. Lineage: Bacteria; Bacillati; Bacillota; Bacilli; Caryophanales; Bacillaceae.